RNAcentral lists this ribosomal RNA (359 nucleotides) under Larsia sp. UFSCAR FL-00066. RNAcentral describes it as "partial 28S ribosomal RNA". It matches the Rfam family "Eukaryotic large subunit ribosomal RNA", at positions 594 to 909 of the family's 3401-position model. Lineage: Eukaryota; Metazoa; Arthropoda; Insecta; Diptera; Chironomidae. The record is from RNAcentral.
GGAAUUGGAGUGUGUGCCCGAUCAACAACGGUUUCAUUUGGGAUACCUUUGGGACCCGUCUUGAAACACGGACCAAGGAGUCUAUNUAGUAUGCAAGUAAAUGGGAAUUGAGAGAAACCUAUUUGCGUAAAAAACUUGACUGUAAUAUAAUGGGAUUACGUGUAUGAUUUACUGUAUAGUGUCUGCACCUCCAUCCCGGGGUAUUUACAUCACAUAUGUGGGCAACNACAUAUAGUAAAUAUACCAUGAGCAUACUGGACAUGACCCGAAAGAUGGUGAACUAUGCCUGAUCAGGUUGAAGUCAGGGGAAACCCUGAUGGAGGACCGAAGCAAUUCUGACGUGCAAAUCGAUUGUCAGA